This 487-nucleotide ribosomal RNA is filed under the name uncultured bacterium. RNAcentral's name for it is "bacterial SSU rRNA". It matches the Rfam family "Bacterial small subunit ribosomal RNA", at positions 329 to 807 of the family's 1533-position model. The record is from RNAcentral.
UUUAAGCUUCCUACGGGAGGCUGCAGUGGGGAAUUUUGGACAAUGGGCGCAAGCCUGAUCCAGCCAUGCCGCGUGCGGGAAGAAGGCCUUCGGGUUGUAAACCGCUUUUGUCAGGGAAGAAACGGUCUGAACGAAUACUUCGGACUAAUGACGGUACCUGAAGAAUAAGCACCGGCUAACUACGUGCCAGCAGCCGCGGUAAUACGUAGGGUGCAAGCGUUAAUCGGAAUUACUGGGCGUAAAGCGUGCGCAGGCGGUUGUGCAAGACAGAUGUGAAAUCCCCGGGCUCAACCUGGGAACUGCAUUUGUGACUGCACAGCUAGAGUACGGCAGAGGGGGAUGGAAUUCCGCGUGUAGCAGUGAAAUGCGUAGAUAUGCGGAGGAACACCGAUGGCGAAGGCAAUCCCCUGGGCCUGUACUGACGCUCAUGCACUAGGAGCGUGGGGAGCAAACAGGAUUAGAUACCCUUGUAGUCGAAUUCUUUAUC